RNAcentral lists this ribosomal RNA (182 nucleotides) under uncultured bacterium. Its description in RNAcentral is "partial 16S ribosomal RNA". It matches the Rfam family "Bacterial small subunit ribosomal RNA", at positions 1319 to 1500 of the family's 1533-position model. The record is from RNAcentral.
CAUGAAGUCGGAAUUGCUAGUAAUCGCGGAUCAGAAUGCCGCGGUGAAUACGUUCCCGGGCCUUGUACACACCGCCCGUCACACCAUGAGAGCCGGUAACACCCGAAGUCAGGAGCCUAACCGCAAGGAGGGCGCUGCCGAAGGUGGGAUUGGUAAUUGGGGUGAAGUCGUAACAAGGUACC